This 487-nucleotide long non-coding RNA is filed under the name Aotus nancymaae (Ma's night monkey). Its description in RNAcentral is "lncRNA (ENSANAG00000039263.1)". Lineage: Eukaryota; Metazoa; Chordata; Mammalia; Primates; Aotidae. The record is from RNAcentral.
CUGAUGCCCUUGAGGGAAUUGGGUGGGUCAUGCCCCAAAGCCUCCAGCUGGUUUCAAUUCUCUCCACAGACACCAGGACUCAAAGGCAGAGGCAAAGCUCAGCAGCCCAGUGGUCAACAUGCUGCAGCUGGUAAUGCAACAUGUGAGAGAGGGCUAUGGGAGGAGGGGCUGGCCUGAUGUGUUCACACAAUAGAGAGUGGGCUAAGGGAGGAGGAGGGGGAGAAGGAGGAGGUGACUGUGGUGUUCACAUAGUAGAGAGUGGGCUAUGGGAGGAAGAGGAGGAGGAGCCGGUGGUGUUCAGGAGCCAGCGGUGUUCACAGAGUAGAGAGUGGGCUAUGGGAGGAGGAAGAGGAGGAGGAGCCUGUGGUGUUCACACAGUAGUGAGUGGGCUAUGGGAGGAGGAGGAGGAGGAGGAGGGGCCUGUGGUGUUCACACAGUAGAGAGUGGGCUAUGGGAGGAGGAGGAGGAGGAGGGGACUGUGGUGUUC